This 253-nucleotide ribosomal RNA is filed under the name uncultured bacterium. Its description in RNAcentral is "partial 16S ribosomal RNA". It matches the Rfam family "Bacterial small subunit ribosomal RNA", at positions 524 to 776 of the family's 1533-position model. The record is from RNAcentral.
UACAGAGGUCUCGAGCGUUAGGCGGAAUCACUGGGCUUAAAGCGUGUGUAGGCGGAUUGCUAAGUACCUUGUGAAAUCCCACGGCUUAACCGUGGAACUGCUUGGUAUACUGGCUGUCUUGAGCCACUUAGGGGCGACCGGAACAAACGGUGGAGCGGUGAAAUGCGUAGAUAUCGUUUGGAACGCCAAAGGUGAAAACAGGUCGCUGGGAGUGUGCUGACGCUGAGACACGAAAGCCAGGGGAGCAAACAGG